GACGAACGCUGGCGGCGUGCUUAACACAUGCAAGUCGAACGGAAAGGCCCCUUUGGGGGUACUCGAGUGGCGAACGGGUGAGUAACACGUGAGUAACCUGCCCUUGACUUCGGGAUAACUUCAGGAAACUGGGGCUAAUACCGGAUAGGAAUCCUUGCUUCAUGGUGGGGGUUGGAAAGCUUCGGCGGUUUUGGAUGGACUCGCGGCUUAUCAGCUUGUUGGUGGGGUAGUGGCUUACCAAGGCUUUGACGGGUAGCCGGCCUGAGAGGGCGACCGGCCACAUUGGGACUGAGAUACGGCCCAGACUCCUACGGGAGGCAACAGUGGGGAAGAUUGCACGAUGGGCGGAAGCCUGAUGCAGCAACGCCGCGGGCGGGAUGACGGCCUUCGGGUUGUAAACCGCUUUCAGCAGGGGCGAAGCUUGUGGUGACGGUACCUGCAGAAGAAGCACCGGCUAACUACGUG
This 465-nucleotide ribosomal RNA is filed under the name uncultured bacterium. Its description in RNAcentral is "partial 16S ribosomal RNA". It matches the Rfam family "Bacterial small subunit ribosomal RNA", at positions 28 to 507 of the family's 1533-position model. The record is from RNAcentral.